UAACUGCGAGUGAAGCGGGAAAAGCUCAAAUUUAAAAUCUGGCGGUCCUUGGCUGUCCGAGUUGUAAUUUAGAGAAGCGUCUUCCGCGCCGGACCGUGCACAAGUCUCCUGGAAUGGAGCGUCGUAGAGGGUGAGAAUCCCGUCUUUGGCACGGAUACCCGGUGCUUCUGUGAUGCGCUCUCGAAGAGUCGAGUUGUUUGGGAAUGCAGCUCAAAAUGGGUGGUGAACUCCAUCUAAAGCUAAAUAUUGGCGAGAGACCGAUAGCGAACAAGUACCGUGAGGGAAAGAUGAAAAGCACUUUGGAAAGAGAGUGAAACAGUACGUGAAAUUGUUGAAAGGGAAACGCUUGAAGUCAGUCGCGUCGACCGAGACUCAGCCUUGCCUUGGCUUGGUGUACUUCUCGGACUGACGGGUCAGCGUCGAUUUUGCUGCUCGGAUAAUGGCAAGGGAAAGGUGGCACCUUUGCGGGUGUGUUAUAGUCUCCUGUCGCAUGCGAGGGGVGAGAUCGAGGAACUCAGCGCGCGCCUCUGGCGUCGGGGCUUUGGCCCACGUAACGCGCUUAGGACGGUGGCGUAAUGGCUUUAAACGACCCGUCUUGAAACACGGACCAAGGAGUCCAACGUGCCCGCGAGUGUUCGGGGGGAAAACCCGUGCGCGUAAUGAAAGUGAAAGUUGGGACCUCUGUCGUGGAGGGCACCGACGCCCGGACCAGACCUUCUGUGACGGAUCUGCGGUAGAGCGUGCAUGUUGGGACCCGAAAGAUGGUGAACUAUGCCUGAAUAGGGUGAAGCCAGAGGAAACUCUGGUGGAGGCUSGUAGCGAUUCKACGUGCAAAUCGAUCGUCAAAUUUGGGUAUA
This 857-nucleotide ribosomal RNA is filed under the name Lactarius fuliginosus. RNAcentral describes it as "eukaryotic LSU rRNA". It matches the Rfam family "Eukaryotic large subunit ribosomal RNA", at positions 84 to 919 of the family's 3401-position model. The record is from RNAcentral. Lineage: Eukaryota; Fungi; Basidiomycota; Agaricomycetes; Russulales; Russulaceae.